This 256-nucleotide small RNA is filed under the name Pan troglodytes (chimpanzee). Lineage: Eukaryota; Metazoa; Chordata; Mammalia; Primates; Hominidae. The record is from RNAcentral.
GCUGGCCGUGGUGGCACGCACCUGUAAUCCCAGCUACUCGGGAGGCUGAGGCAAGAGAAUCGCUUGAACCCGGGAGGCACAGGUUGCAGUGAGCCGAGAUCACGCCACUGCACUCCAGCCUGGCGACAGAGUGAGACUCUGUCUCAAAAAAAAAAAGGAGGCGGAGUCUCCCUCUGUUGCCCAGUCUGGAGUGCAGUGGCACUAUCUCGGCUCAGUGCAACCUCCGCCUCCUGGUUCAAGCAAUUCUUCUGACUCA